RNAcentral lists this ribosomal RNA (257 nucleotides) under uncultured bacterium. RNAcentral's name for it is "partial 16S ribosomal RNA". It matches the Rfam family "Bacterial small subunit ribosomal RNA", at positions 524 to 776 of the family's 1533-position model. The record is from RNAcentral.
UACGUAGGGUGCGAGCGUUUGUCCGGAAUUAUUGGGCGUAAAGGGUGCGUAGGUGGCUCUAUAAGUAUGGUGUGAAAUCUCCCGGCUUAACUGGGAGGUGCGCCGUAGACUGUGGGGCUAGAGUGUGGGAGAGGAAAGUGGAAUUCCUGGUGUAGCGGUGAAAUGCGUAGAUAUCAGGAGGAACACCGGUGGUGUAAACGGCUUUCUGGACCAUAAACUGACACUGGAGGCAACGAAAGCCGUGGGUAGCAAACAGG